GGAAGGGCUGUAACGCAGUGGUAGAGUAUCCACUGUCAGUGCUUUGUAUGCAGAAGGUCCCAGGUUCAAUUCCUGGCAUUUCCA
Molecule: non-coding RNA, 84 nt
Organism: Podarcis lilfordi (Lilford's wall lizard)
Lineage: Eukaryota; Metazoa; Chordata; Lepidosauria; Squamata; Lacertidae
Source: the annotation of a GenBank genome assembly